AUGGGCCUUGAUGACAAGGAAAUCGUUGCUUUGUCUGGGGCACAUACACUUGGAAGGUCUAGGCCUGAACGGAGUGGCUGGGGGAAACCUGAAACAAAAUAUACUAAAAAUGGUCCUGGUGCACCUGGUGGACAAUCAUGGACAGCUGAGUGGCUGAAGUUUGAUAACAGUUACUUCAAGGAGAUAAAAGAGAAAGGAGAUCAGGAUCUUCUUGUGCUGCCUACAGAUGCUGCAUUAUUUGAGGACCCAACAUUCAAGGUCUAUGCAGAGAAAUAUGCAGCAGACGAAGAAGCAUUCUUUAAAGACUAUGCGGAGGCUCAUGCUAAACUGAGCAGCCUGGGUGCAAAGUUUGAUCCUGCCGAGGGAUUCUCAUUGGAUGAUUAG
Molecule: ribosomal RNA, 384 nt
Filed under: Triticum aestivum (bread wheat)
Lineage: Eukaryota; Viridiplantae; Streptophyta; Magnoliopsida; Poales; Poaceae
Description: partial small subunit ribosomal RNA
Source: RNAcentral